AGUGAACGCUGGCGGUAGGCCUAACACAUGCAAGUCGAACGGCAGCACAGUAAGAGCUUGCUCUUACGGGUGGCGAGUGGCGGACGGGUGAGGAAUACAUCGGAAUCUACUUUUUCGUGGGGGAUAACGUAGGGAAACUUACGCUAAUACCGCAUACGACCUACGGGUGAAGCAGGGGAACUUCGGACCUUGCGCGAAUGGAUGGGCCGAUGUCGGAUUAGCUAGUUGGCGGGGUAAAGGCCCACCAAGGCGACGAUCCGUAGCUGGUCUGAGAGGAUGAUCAGCCACACUGGAACUGAGACACGGUCCAGACUCCUACGGGAGGCAGCAGUGGGGAAUAUUGGACAAUGGGCGCAAGCCUGAUCCAGCCAUACCGCGUGGGUGAAGAAGGCCUUCGGGUUGUAAAGCCCUUUUGUUGGGAAAGAAAAGCAGCAGGUUAAUACCCCGCUGUUCUGACGGUACCCAAAGAAUAAGCACCGGCUAACUUCGUG
Molecule: ribosomal RNA, 491 nt
Filed under: uncultured bacterium
Lineage: Bacteria
Description: partial 16S ribosomal RNA
Rfam family: Bacterial small subunit ribosomal RNA
Source: RNAcentral